This 358-nucleotide unclassified non-coding RNA is filed under the name soil metagenome. RNAcentral's name for it is "partial contains 5.8S ribosomal RNA, internal transcribed spacer 2, and large subunit ribosomal RNA". The stretch from base 1 to 120 matches the Rfam family "5.8S ribosomal RNA", at positions 35 to 154 of the family's 154-position model. The record is from RNAcentral.
GAUGAAGAACGUAGCGAAAUGCGAUAAGUAAUGUGAAUUGCAGAAUUCAGUGAAUCAUCGAAUCUUUGAACGCACAUUGCGCCCGUCAGUAUUCUGGCGGGCAUGCCUGUUCGAGCGUCAUUACGCCCCUCAAGUCCCCUGUGGACUUGGUGUUGGGGAUCGGCGAGGCUGGUUUUCCAGCACAGCCGUCCCUUAAAUUAAUUGGCGGUCUCGCCGUGGCCCUCCUCUGCGCAGUAGUAAAACACUCGCAACAGGAGCCCGGCGCGGUCCACUGCCGUAAAACCCCCCAACUUUUUAUAGUUGACCUCGAAUCAGGAAGGACUACCCGCUGAACUUAAGCAUAUCAAUAAGCGGAGGA